Non-coding RNA from Podarcis lilfordi (Lilford's wall lizard), 83 nucleotides. Lineage: Eukaryota; Metazoa; Chordata; Lepidosauria; Squamata; Lacertidae. The record is from the annotation of a GenBank genome assembly.
GCACGGAGGCAAUGGCAAUAUCAUAGCCAAUGAGGUUAAUUCAAGGCAUGAUUAUUGUUAAUUGAAAACUUUCCUACUUAGCC